RNAcentral lists this ribosomal RNA (253 nucleotides) under uncultured bacterium. RNAcentral describes it as "partial 16S ribosomal RNA". It matches the Rfam family "Bacterial small subunit ribosomal RNA", at positions 524 to 776 of the family's 1533-position model. The record is from RNAcentral.
UACGGGGGGAGCAAGCGUUGUUCGGAUUUACUGGGCGUAAAGGGCGCGUAGGCGGCGUGACAAGUCACUUGUGAAAUCUCCGGGCUUAACUCGGAACGGUCAAGUGAUACUGUCGUGCUAGAGUACAGAAGGGGCAACUGGAAUUCUCGGUGUAGCGGUGAAAUGCGUAGAUAUCAGGAGGAACACCGGUGGCGAAGGCGGGUCUCUGGGCCGUAACUGACGCUGAGGAGCGAAAGCGUGGGGAGCGAACAGG